This 257-nucleotide ribosomal RNA is filed under the name uncultured bacterium. RNAcentral describes it as "partial 16S ribosomal RNA". It matches the Rfam family "Bacterial small subunit ribosomal RNA", at positions 14 to 263 of the family's 1533-position model. The record is from RNAcentral.
GAAUCCUGGCUCAGGAUGAACGCUAGCUACAGGCUUAACACAUGCAAGUCGAGGGGCAUCAGGAAGAAAGCUUGCUUUCUUUGCUGGCGACCGGCGCACGGGUGAGUAACACGUAUCCAACCUGCCCUUUACUCGGGGAUAGCCUUUCGAAAGAAAGAUUAAUACCCGAUGGGAUAAUCAUUCCGCAUGGUUUGAUUAUUAAAGGAUUCCGGUAAAGGAUGGGGAUGCGUUCCAUUAGGUUGUUGGUGAGGUAACGG